Mastomys coucha (southern multimammate mouse) is the source of this 141-nucleotide small nucleolar RNA. RefSeq annotates it as small nucleolar RNA SNORA81. NCBI's taxonomy places the organism in Eukaryota, Metazoa, Chordata, Mammalia, Rodentia, Muridae. The record is from RefSeq and is a predicted model, not a curated record. The transcript has a single exon.
AAUGUCAUGUGUGAGCCGACAUCAUCAAGAAAGGGAAGAGGGCACACAAGAAGAAAAGUAACUGCACUGGAUUGCAAAGACUGGGGUGGACCUCUUUCUUAAUGUCCAGUGUCCUGUGUCAUAAGAUUCAGUGCAAUAAGU